UCUGGUUGAUCCUGCCAGACCCGACUGCUAUCCGGAUGGGACUAAGCCAUGCAAGUCGACGGUGCACCAAGCAUCGUGGCGAACUGCUCAGUAAUAAGUGAUCAACUCACCCUAUGGUAGCUGACAACCUCGGGAAACUGAGGCUAAUCCGCCAUAGGUGACAGGGCCUGGAAUGGUCUGUCACUCAAAGGGUAUGCCUAAUGGUGGCAUAUCCGCCGUAGGACAGGAUCGCUGCCGAUUAUGGUUGUUGGCGAGGUAAUGGCUCACCAAGCCUAUGAUCGGUAAGGGCCGUGAGAGCGGGAGCCCUGAGAUGGGUACUGAGACAAGGACCCAGGCCUUACGAGGCGCAGCAGGCGCGAAACCUUUACAAUGCACGCAAGUGUGAUAAGGUCAUCCGGAGUGCCGGGGGUGUUCCUCCCGGCUGUUGUGGGGUGUAGGUAGCCCCACCAGAAAGGAGAGGGCAAGGCUGGUGCCAGCCGCCGCGGUAACACCAGCUCUUCAAGUGGUCGGGACAAUUAUUGGGCUUAAAGCGUCCGUAGCCGGGUUGACAAGUUCCCGGUAAAAUCCGGCCGCUCAACGGUCGGCAGGCUGGGAAAACUGUCUUCCUGGAGGGUGGGAAAGGUCUGAGGUACUCUGGGGGUAGCGGUGAAAUGUGAUAAUCCUUAGGGGACCACCAGAGGCGAAGGCGUCAGACUGGAACACGCCUGACGGUGAGGGACGAAAGCUAGGGGAGCGAACGGGAUCAGAUACCCCGGUAGUCCUAGCCGUAAACGAUGUGUGCUAGGUGUCGGCAAGGCUAGGAGCCGUGCCGGUGCCGCAGAGAAAUCGUUAAGCACACCGCCUGGGAAGUACGCUCGCAAGAGUGAAACUUAAAGGAAUUGGCGGGGGAGCACCACAAGGGGUGAAGCCUGCGGUUCAAUUGGACUCAACGCCGGGAAGCUUACCAGGGGCGACAGCAGAAUGAAGGUCAGGCUGAUGACCUUACCAGACAAGCUGAGCGGAGGUGCAUGGCCGUCGCCAGUUCGUGCCGUGAGGUAUCCUGUUAAGUCAGGCAACGAACGAGACCCACACACUUAGUUGCCAGCGACUGACUUCGGUUAGGUCGGGAACGCUAAGUGAACCGCCGCCGUACAGACGGAGGAAGGGGUGGGCCACGGCAGGUCAGUAUGCCCCUAAUCCCCUGGGCCACACGCGGGCUGCAAUGGUAAGGACAAUGGGCUGCAACACCGAAAGGUGGAGCCAAUCCCGAAACCUUAUCUCAGUUGGGAUUGUCGGCUGCAACUCGCCGACAUGAACGUGGAAUCCCUAGUAAUCGUGCGUCAACAUCACACGGUGAAUACGUCUCUGCUCCUUGCACACACCGCCCGUCGCUCCAUCCGAGUGAAGCGUAAUUGAAAACUGGUCCUUUGGGUUAGUUUGAGGUUAUACUUCACGAGGAGGGAGAAGUCGUAACAAGGUA
This 1459-nucleotide ribosomal RNA is filed under the name metagenome. RNAcentral describes it as "bacterial SSU rRNA". It matches the Rfam family "Archaeal small subunit ribosomal RNA". The record is from RNAcentral.